GACGAACGCUGGCGGCGUGCUUAACACAUGCAAGUCGAACGGUAAGGCCCUUCGGGGUACACGAAUGGCGAACGGGUGAGUAACACGUGGGUGAUCUGCCCUGCACUUCGGGAUAAGCCUGGGAAACUGGGUCUAAUACCGGAUAGGACUCCUGCCUGCAUGGGUGGGGGUGGAAAGCUUUUGUGGUGUGGGAUGGGCCCGCGGCCUAUCAGCUUGGUGGUGGGGUGAUGGCCUACCAAGGCGACGACGGGUAGCCGGCCUGAGAGGGUGACCGGCCACACUGGGACUGAGAUACGGCCCAGACUCCUACGGGAGGCAGCAGUGGGGAAUAUUGCACAAUGGGCGCAAGCCUGAUGCAGCGACGCCGCGUGAGGGAUGACGGCCUUCGGGUUGUAAACCUCUUUCAGCACAGACGAAGCGCAAGUGACGGUAUGUGCAGAAGAAGGACCGGCCAACUACGUGCCAGCAGCCGCGGUAA
RNAcentral lists this ribosomal RNA (478 nucleotides) under uncultured bacterium. Its description in RNAcentral is "partial 16S ribosomal RNA". It matches the Rfam family "Bacterial small subunit ribosomal RNA", at positions 28 to 523 of the family's 1533-position model. The record is from RNAcentral.